CUGGGGCCUCUGACCGCCUGAGGACAGAGGCCGGAGAGCUGCCAGAGACCCUCGGGUCCUCCCGUCCCACCCUCGUGUUGUGAAGACGAGGAAACUGAGGCCCCCGAUAUUGACAUGACAUGCGCUUUGGCCGCCCCAAGGGGUUGGAGUCCGUGCAGAGGGCGGGGAAGGAGCUGGGGUCAGCACGAGGAGAGAGCCACCCUUGGGAAGGGCCGAGGCACCCAUGCACGGGAUGGGAAGGGGCGCGGGGGCGUGCCUGCACCUGCAGCCCCUAAGAGCGCGCACCUGACCGGACCCCGGUGGCUCUGGGUCCCGGCGUCUGGAAUGCAGCUGCUGUGCUGGCAGCGGGGCAGGCCCCCGGGACCUUCAUGCAAAGGCAUGGGUGGGAGACGCACGCCCAGCAGUCCGGCUUGGCCGUGGGGCAGAAUGGACGGAGGGCAAUAGCGGAGGAAGGUCAAGGAGCAGUCAGGCAAACGCUUGGGGAUCUGAUGCUGGGCAAGGCCAACUCUGGGAUGGGGUGGACAUUUCUGGAGCUGGAGAACCAUUUGGAGAAGGAAGGAGGAAGCUCUGGUUGAAACAGAGGCGCCCUGCCCCUGGCAACCUGACAGGUGUGAUCCCUAUUCUUAUCCAGUUGUACAACGAACUGUGACAUCACAGGCCAGGGCGAGCCAGCAGGGCGUCCCUGGACAGGGCCCAGUCAGAUGCUGGAGGGAUGCAGAACAGGGCUUUGGGGGCAAGUCCCACUGGGGUCAGGCUGAUGAUGAUUCCCAUACCCAAUCUGCAGCCAUGCAGGUGGACCCCUCUGCCAUGUUGUAGUGAGGAAGGAUUUCCAUGAGUUUCUUGGUUCACCUCUUUUGACCACUUGACAAAGAACGCCAGACCAUCUGUAAAGCUGACCGGUUGUCAGUAGUCUCAUAAACAUGGUGUUAAGCUACCAACAGACAAGUGAUGAGAGAGUCCCUAUUUGCAAGUGGCAAGAGGAGGACGUAGCUGAAGCAAUGGACCCAUGGACCAGCUUUGGGAAUGCUGACAGCCUCAGGAAAAGCCUCCAUCGACCCAUGGGCCCCUCCUUUCAUUCAUCCAAACUACCCAAAGGCCACCAUGUUGGAAACCUUUCGGUUCACAAUCAGGAGUCUACACCAGGUGCCAUAACAAAGAGGUUUUAUUGACAUUCCUUUACGGUGAUAUGAGUGAAUAGAAGGCAAAGACUGAGUAUCAGCAAAAUCAGCCCCAGAAUAAGGACCUUUCCUGCCAUUGACUAGUAGGAAGUCUUUUUUUCUUUUUCUUUCUUUCUUUCUUUCUUUCUUUCUUUCUUUCUUUCU
Molecule: non-coding RNA, 1322 nt
Organism: Phascolarctos cinereus (koala)
Lineage: Eukaryota; Metazoa; Chordata; Mammalia; Diprotodontia; Phascolarctidae
Source: RefSeq, a predicted model, not a curated record